Molecule: long non-coding RNA, 3979 nt
Organism: Polyodon spathula (Mississippi paddlefish)
Lineage: Eukaryota; Metazoa; Chordata; Actinopteri; Acipenseriformes; Polyodontidae
Exons: 2
Source: RefSeq, a predicted model, not a curated record
GAGGGGGAGGGGCAUCUGAACUAGCAGGGUCUGGGGCUGACGGGUCAGCUGGUCACAGCGGGAAAUCAACACGCCCAGCCCGCCUGUACACAGGGUUUAGCUGUGGUGCUUUUUAGGAAGAAGUGGGAGGAUCUGUUUAAAUGGUUGGAUAACAGAGCAAUCUUGCCGCUAGCCAGUGUUACAAUUUUUUUAUUUUUUUUUAUUGUAACAAAAACUCGGACACACUCAGUCAUGCAAACAAUGAUGCGCUAUUUAGAUCUGAACAGUGGCUUGUGACACGUAGAGCCUAUAAGAGUAUCAGAGCUAGUGGAUGUUUAAAUAUCAGGCAUGAAUCUAAUUCAGUCCUCAGUGGAUGGUCGCUCUGAAUGACUCGGGUGACGGGGGCGUACAGAUGUUUUCCCUUGAGAUUUGUUUAGUACAGGAUCUCAAGUAAUGCAACACUAAAAACAACUAAAGCACAGCAUGAAGGUGCACUGCAUCUCAGAGCCUUGAUCAGGUUCCCCCAGGUUUUUAAUAGGACUUUUAUUAUUUGAUAUUUGGGGGGUGGGGGUUGGGGGGUAACAGGACAGGGAAUCAAACGCUAAAAUGCAUGGAGGCUGUACGGGGCAAACUAUCAAAAUAUAAAGUUGUUAACAUUAACACUUGCUUGGAAACGGGGCACUUGACCCCUGUGUGCUGCUGACCAGCUGACCAGUGUGUGCUUGCUCUCUCCCACUCUACUGUGCCUGCCUUCUGAAUCUGCAUCAUAACACCUGCAGCAAAAUAUGUAAUGCAUUAUUUAUUUAUUUAAUUGUAGCUAUCAUCUGUUCUAGAAAGCACAAAGUUAUUAAAAUAACAGCUAUUAACUUGCAUGUUUUAUGUAAAAAUGUUUAAUAUACAUCGUUGUGUGUCUGUAGAGUAUAAAUGUAUGUAGAUCAUUUAUUUUCAGUGUUUGUUUGCUUGUUGCCUGUUUAAACUGCUGUGCUUGAAUUGCAGCUGCAAAAGUCUCCUCGUAAGUGUGCUGGUGUGUCUGUUGAGCCCUUUCCCUGUCUGCUGGCUCCUCAUCUGUUUACAGGCCUUGCUAUACUUGAGCCUGCAGGCUGCAGCCGGCCUGUCGUCUCUGUCAGCCUAACGGUUUGAGUUUCUGUGCUCAGUGUCUUCAGAGUAUUACAUCACAGCUUUCUGGAAAAUAAGGGAACCUCAUAUUUCAGUUUUAUUGAAGUUGAUUUUCCUUCUCUGAAGUAGGAUUAUAUGAAUAAUAACAGUGUGGGCAUCAAGGCUGACCAAAUCUGAAAGCAAUGGCUGAAUUCCAGUACAGGGUUCAAUUCCAAUCUGGCCCUAAAUAAGGCAUAACUGUAUAAAUGUGGCAUCUGUUUGUUUGUUUGUCUGGUAAAAUAAGUAAUGACUGACUAGUCAAACUGAGGAGGCACAACAAGAUUUGUUUUUAAAAAAAUCCUUAUUUAUGUUUAAAUGUUUUAAAAGGGGGCCAGUAUCAGUCAACCAAAUAUAUAUUUAUUAAAUGAAUGCCUUGUUAAAUAAGAAAUAUAUAUAUAUACAUAAACUAUACUAGUGCAAACCCUGCUGGAUACCCACUAUUGCAUUCUCCUGAGCAAGGUGUCAGUUAUACUGUGCUGUAUCUUACCGAGGGGGCAGGUUGGUACAGGUUGAGUGCGAGGCUGCUGGAAUGGUGCUCUGGUACCAGGUUUGGCAAGCCCUGGGCGCAAUGCGGUAAAUUUGGCAUGCGGAAUCAAAUAAACGUCAGACGGCCUCUGUUCCUCUGCAGGUUCUACCCACACGCUCACCCCCACCAAAUUUCUAAUGGACCUGCAGCACCCGGACUUCAGAGAGUCCUCAAAGGUCUCAUUUGAGGAUCAGGCUCCCAAAGAGGAGUGAGGGGCACAAUGAAAAAGCUCCACCCAUGUCUUCACUCCCACGAAGUUACUCGAAGCUCUGAAGAGAAUGAAUAAACCAGACGAGGAGCAGCCAGCCAGCUAAAAACAAACAUCAAGACGCUCUUCUCUUCUGCUCCUUGCCAUUCCCCUUUCUUCCAGCAGAUAACUCCCCUAUCCUCCCUCUCCCGUCCUCCUUCACACCCGUUCUAGAACCCACCAACACCAACCAAUCAGAAGACCUGCUGUCUGCUGACAUCGUGGUGACAUCAUGACCUGUUUGCAUCGUGCUGAAACAGCAUGAUACAGCAUUUAAAAAAAUUACAAAACGUUUAAAAUAUUGAAACAAAAAGCAAGAAAAACAACGUUGCUCGUAAGCUGCUGGGUUCCUGCUUUGUUUGUUUCUUUGUUGAUGCAAUUGAGUUUAAGAAAUCAAACAUUUUAUGGCCAAUUCAUGCUGUAAUUACCAAAUGUAACAUUGCGUGCUCUACGAGGCCUGCUAGAAGCUGCAAGAGAGCUGCCUGGUCUCUCUGUCUUGCUCGAUAGUGUACACUUUCUGUUGUUUGUGAUGAUCGGUGGAGGAAUCAGUUAUGACCGGAGCCAGCCAGAAGGCCGCGAUGCUAAUGGCAGCCCAGAACACAGAAUACGAUGCGUUAGACUUCGGUUAGCCCCGAACCAAACUGGAGAUUCAUGACCUGCAAAAAAAUAUUGUUCGCUUUCAACUGUUACGCGAAGUUGUGUAGCUCUGAGCAGACCACAGACUCUUUCAAAACUGAGACGUCGUCAUUAAUUUUACUUUAUUUAUUUAUUUAUUUAUCUUUGGAGCUCAAGUUCUAAACCCAGUCGUUCCUGUUUAUUUUAGGUUUUUUAUUUUGUUAGUGGAAACAUGAGAGGCGGGCUCUGGCGCUCAGUCUCUGUGUGAUGGAGAUGUUGCUGCGGUCGCUGAUCGUUUGUCAGUCCAGUUUUAUUUUGUGUAGCGAAUGAAACCAGGGUCUGCACCACCAAGCAGACGACGCUUCUGUAUCCAGGUUUUCCAGAGAAGGAAGUGUAAAGCCAAGCAUACCCAAGGAAACAAAAACUGUCAGGAAACUUAAGAAUCGGGAAACUUUUUUUUUUGCAUAGUCACAUGAUCGAUGAGUCCUAGUCUCUCCUGAUUGGCCAAAAGCAAAACGUUUCUCAAAGCAGAACCCAGGUGUGCUCCGGUAAACGCAGACACGAGGAGACACUUUGUCUGGAAGCAUGUUUCUGCAGACGGAUCCUCAUGUAGGCUGGGCUUCGCAAAGAACUUCCGCUGAAAACGCUUUCACGAGCUCGGCUUUGUGCCGGAUUCCUCCAUCGAUUAACAAACAGAAGAACUUCUCCUGUAUAAAUAUAUAUAUAUUUAAAAAAAACAAAACAACGGAGUCCAUAUAUUAAACGUGUAGUGUCAAAGAGUUGAUUGCUUGCAAACUUUUCAAAUAAAAGGGCCAACCGGUAUUGUAAUUCAGUAUUGUAUUUAGUAAAAUGAAGUCCUAUUGCUAUGGUUAGUGUUGAAGUUUACUGUUCAUGCACUGAACUGUGUCGUGUGUAUGCUAUUCGCUGAUGUUAAGUCUCCCUAGUGAUAAUAUGACUGUGAAGUAGUGUAGCUUUCCUUUUGCUAGGACCUGUAUGUUCCUCCCCGCUGUGUCAGUGACGUGUUUAGCAAGCUGGAGUGGUUUAAUGAAAAUCUGUUCUUUUUGUUUGUUUGUUUGUUUGUUUGUUUGUGUACCGGAACAUCUUCCAUUAGUUAAAGGCUUUGGAAAUUCCUGAUUUCUUUUAUCUGUUUUGACAAAGGCUGUAAACGCACAGAGUGUUUUUUUUCCCUCUGCGAUGCUUAGACGUGUGGUUUUUUUUCCUUUCCUUUUCCAUUUUUUUUUUUUUUUUUUUUUUUUUGCUGUUGUAUAGCAACCACUGUGUCAUUGAUUCAUAUCAAAGUUAUUUAUCAGAGCAAAAAAAAAGAAAUCAAAGUGUGUCUGUCUUGAUCCCGUUUCUCAUGCUUGGAUUACACGUCUGCAAAGUGGUGAAGCACAAGCAGCUGUACUAUACAUGUACCUAUGUACUAAAGCUGUCUAAUAAAUUCACUUCCAUACAAA